ACCCCCCUCAUUUGUACUCCCGCGAGCAACCACCUCCAACCAGGGGGUGCCUGCAUGUGAUUUAUAUCCUAAACUUUUCCUUCCUCACCCUCAGGGGCAAGGGGCUGUCUCAGACCUCACCCUCCUUGGCAUCCGAGGCAUUUACACUGCUGACCUCCUCCUCACCCCCAAAAUCGCGCCCUCCCUCGGCGUACAGAAAAAUCUACCUCCUUGAUUCUGCCGCUGUACAUUGCACAUCGCUGUCACCUGCUCCUCACUCUAGCUGGCUGGUGCCCGGCCUCGCGGCCAUGUUGCCUGAAAGUGAGCUGGCCCAGAGGAGGGGUGCUGGAUGGUAAAAGGCAUUCUGAGGCGGCAACAGAGGGCAUCCGUUGUCAAUGGAAAAAGUAAGGUUGCUGCAGAACUUCUCAGGGCCUUUAUCGGCGGGCCAAUGUGCAAUGGCAAUCUCCACUGAAUGCAGGAGAACUACAGACGAGCAGCCCCGACCGGCUCUAUGUACCAGACAGCAGGCGCGUGUGCUGAGCCAGCCAGGAACGUGAGCAGUUCAGGGCUCUCCUUCUUCCUGCUUUCCACUGCAGCCCAGGCCCCCUGGGCUUCCACGGGACCCUGCCCUCUGCCCAGGUCUGCCUGUACCACAUCCUACCCCCCACAAUCCUCCCUGGGCAAUGCAGAGGAAAGAGAUUUGGCUGGGAGCAGAAGACUGGCCACCUGAAACCCUUGAACUGAUUAUUUAACUUCCACUGUUCCUCAAUUCCCUCACCUGUAAAAGGGGGGGGAAUACAGUACCCACCUUAGGGGUUCUACUGUGGAGCUUAAGUGCCUUCAUAUGGAGAGCGAGAGCAGGUGGAAGGUGCUUCGCACAGCGAAGAAAUAAGACCUUUCCAGACAGCAGAACUGGAUUCCCAGUCUGUCCAUCUCCCACCGUCUGUUUGUCCCUGACCACACUGCCCUCUUCCUCGGGAUCCUAUUUCCUCGUUCAUUCCUGGAGGCAGAUGAGCCACACCAGAAGGUUGGAGACUAUGUAUCACUUCUGCCUUGACCCCACAGCCUCCAAGGGUUGACCAGAUGUCCUAAAGACCUCCAAGGACUGAAAUCCUUGGGAUCAUCCCAGGGCCCCGUGGUCGGACCUCUGUAGCAGACUCUCAGAGGUUGUCGGUGCAACAGGACUUCAGAGACGGGCAACUUAUCUUCAGCACACAGUCCUUCAACUGGCCCAGUGAAGGCAUCCGUGUCCUCUUGGCAUCAGAGAGAUGGGGAGAGAGACACCAUUCUUCCCAGUGGCCUGGGACGAUCUCCAGCCUCCUGGGAUGAGAAGUUACCAGACUAAAAUAUUUCCCCGUGAGGGAAGGAGGGAAGUGCAUGGGAUUGCAAGUCUGCCCCGAGUGGCUUCUGAUGCGAUGACAGAGAGAGCACGCGGGCUUCCUGGGAACUCUGCAGCUUGUUCAAGGACUCUUCAAUCACAGACGCCAAGUGCAGGGAGCAAUAAACAAGAUCGCGAC
This is a long non-coding RNA of Acinonyx jubatus (cheetah), 1496 nucleotides long. RefSeq lists it as uncharacterized. The transcript is spliced from 3 exons. Lineage: Eukaryota; Metazoa; Chordata; Mammalia; Carnivora; Felidae. The record is from RefSeq and is a predicted model, not a curated record.